RNAcentral lists this ribosomal RNA (448 nucleotides) under uncultured bacterium. RNAcentral describes it as "bacterial SSU rRNA". It matches the Rfam family "Bacterial small subunit ribosomal RNA", at positions 355 to 796 of the family's 1533-position model. The record is from RNAcentral.
UAGGGAAUAUUGCGCAAUGGGCGAAAGCCUGACGCAGCAACGCCGCGUGCGGGAGGAAGGCCUUCGGGUCGUAAACCGCUUUCAGGAGGGACGAAGCUACCUGGGUUAAUAGCCCGUGGGGUGACUGUACCUCCAGAAGAAGCCCCGGCUAACUACGUGCCAGCAGCCGCGGUAAUACGUAGGGGGCAAGCGUUGUCCGGAAUCAUUGGGCGUAAAGAGCGUGUAGGCGGCCUUGUAAGUCUUGCGUGAAAUCCUGUGGCUCAACCACAGACGUGCGCGGGAAACUACAUGGCUAGAGUCCGGAAGAGGAGAGCGGAAUUCCUGGUGUAGCGGUGGAAUGCGCAGAUAUCAGGAGGAACACCCGUGGCGAAGGCGGCUCUCUGGGACGGUACUGACGCUGAGACGCGAAAGCGUGGGGAGCGAACAGGAUUAGAUACCCCCGUAGUCC